AGUGAACGCUGGCGGUAGGCCUAACACAUGCAAGUCGAACGGCAGCACAGUAAGAGCUAGCUCUUACGGGUGGCGAGUGGCGGACGGGUGAGGAAUACAUCGGAAUCUACUUUUUCGUGGGGGAUAACGUAGGGAAACUUACGCUAAUACCGCAUACGACCUACGGGUGAAAGCAGGGGAUCUUCGGACCUUGCGCGAUUGAAUGAGCCGAUGUCGGAUUAGCUAGUUGGCGGGGUAAAGGCCCACCAAGGCGACGAUCCGUAGCUGGUCUGAGAGGAUGAUCGGCCACACUGGAACUGAGACACGGUCCAGACUCCUACGGGAGGCAGCAGUGGGAAAUAUUGGACAAGGGGCGCAAGCCUGAUCCAGCCAUACCGCGUGGGUGAAGAAGGCCUUCGGGUUGUAAGCCCUUUUGUUGGGAAAGAAAGGCAGCAGGUUAAUACCCCGCUGUUCUGACGGUACCCAAAGAAUAAGCACCGGCUAACUUCGUG
Molecule: ribosomal RNA, 491 nt
Filed under: uncultured bacterium
Lineage: Bacteria
Description: partial 16S ribosomal RNA
Rfam family: Bacterial small subunit ribosomal RNA
Source: RNAcentral